This 693-nucleotide ribosomal RNA is filed under the name uncultured bacterium. RNAcentral describes it as "bacterial SSU rRNA". It matches the Rfam family "Bacterial small subunit ribosomal RNA", at positions 50 to 716 of the family's 1533-position model. The record is from RNAcentral.
CGAGCGAGCUUGCCUAGAUGAUUUUAGUGCUUGCACUAAAUGAAACUAGAUACCUUCGAGCGGCGGACGGGUGAGUAACACGUGGGUAACCUGCCCAAGAGACUGGGAUAACACCUGGAAACAGAUGCUAAUACCGGAUAACAACACUAGACGCAUGUCUAGAGUUUGAAAGAUGGUUCUGCUAUCACUCUUGGAUGGACCUGCGGUGCAUUAGCUAGUUGGUAAGGUAACGGCUUACCAAGGCAAUGAUGCAUAGCCGAGUUGAGAGACUGAUCGGCCACAUUGGGACUGAGACACGGCCCAAACUCCUACGGGAGGCAGCAGUAGGGAAUCUUCCACAAUGGACGAAAGUCUGAUGGAGCAACGCCGCGUGAGUGAAGAAGGGUUUCGGCUCGUAAAGCUCUGUUGGUAGUGAAGAAAGAUAGAGGUAGUAACUGGCCUUUAUUUGACGGUAAUUACUUAGAAAGUCACGGCUAACUACGUGCCAGCAGCCGCGGUAAUACGUAGGUGGCAAGCGUUGUCCGGAUUUAUUGGGCGUAAAGCGAGUGCAGGCGGUUCAAUAAGUCUGAUGUGAAAGCCUUCGGCUCAACCGGAGAAUUGCAUCAGAAACUGUUGAACUUGAGUGCAGAAGAGGAGAGUGGAACUCCAUGUGUAGCGGUGGAAUGCGUAGAUAUAUGGAAGAACACCAGUGGC